RNAcentral lists this long non-coding RNA (469 nucleotides) under Struthio camelus australis. Its description in RNAcentral is "lncRNA (ENSSCUG00000002947.1)". The record is from RNAcentral. Lineage: Eukaryota; Metazoa; Chordata; Aves; Struthioniformes; Struthionidae.
GGAGCCGCCGGUGUCCCGGCGGCGGUGACACGCCACGCGCGCCGCUGCGCGCUCCCUCGCUCGCUCGAGACUUGGGUUUGUCCAGCCGCUUUCCCCGGGCUCGGCAGGUGGUAGAUGAAACGUGCUUCGUUUGCUUCGCGCCCCGUCCAGCUCGUCCCUUCGCGCAGAGCCACCGGCGUUUCCGUGGACUCGUUAACCUCGCCGUCACCUCAGGUGGUCGGGGGGAGACUUGAGGGCUCGCAAAAGUCCGCGUGACUUGUUCGAAGUACUUGGUGCUAGCAAAAAAGACGAGGAUUGCUGGGAAACCGCGAUGCUUUGCAGGGGCCUCAUAGGAUUUAGCUGUUGGAGCCACUGGAUUUCUGCUUUGUCUGUAGCGUGGUUCUGCCCUUGGACAAGUCAACACUGUUCUGUGGCACUGGCUUCACCAGGACAAAAGUUAGGGUGUGAACAAAAGUGGUCCUUGGGCUGA